GACGAACGCUGGCGGCGCGCCUAACACAUGCAAGUCGAACGAGCGAGCUUGCUUCGCGAGUGGCGAACGGGGUGAGUCAACGCGUGAGGAACCUUGCCUCAAAGGAGGGGGACAACAGUUGGAAACGACUUGCUAAUACCGCAUAAGCCCACGACCCGGCAUCGGGUAGAGGGAAAAGGAGCAAUCCGCUUUGAGAUGGCCUCGCGUCCGAUUAGCUAGUUGGUGAGGUAAUGGCCCACCAAGGCGACGAUCGGUAGCCGGACUGAGAGGUUGAACGGCCACAUUGGGACUGAGACACGGCCCAGACUCCUACGGGAGGCAGCAGUGGGGAAUAUUGCACAAUGGGGGAAACCCUGAUGCAGCGACGCCGCGUGGAGGAAGAAGGUCUUCGGAUUGUAAACUCCUGUUGUUGAGGAAGAUAAUGACGGUACUCAACAAGGAAGUGACGGCUAACUACGUGCCAGCAGCCGCGGUAAAACGUAGGUCACAAGCGUUGUCCGGAAUUACUGGGGUGUAAAGGGAGCGCAGGCGGGAAGACAAGUUGGAAGUGAAAUCCAUGGGCUCAACCCAUGAACUGGCUUUCAAAACUGUUUUUCUUGAGUAGUGCAGAGGUAGGCGGAAUUCCCCGGUGUAGCGGUGGAAUGCGUAGAUAUCGGGGAGGAACACCAGUGGCGAAGGCGGCCUACUGGGCACCAACUGACGCUGAGGCUCGAAAGUGUGGGUAGCAAACAGGAUUAGAUACCCUGGUAGUCCACACUGUAAACGAUGAUUACUAGGUGUUGGAGGAUUGACCCCUUCAGUGCCGCAGUUAACACAAUAAGUAAUCCACCUGGGGAGUACGACCGCAAGGUUGAAACUCAAAGGAAUUGACGGGGGCCCGCACAAGCAGUGGAGUAUGUGGUUUAAUUCGACGCAACGCGAAGAACCUUACCAAGUCUUGACAUCCUGCGACGCACAUAGAAAUAUGUGUUUCCUUCGGGACGCAGAGACAGGUGGUGCAUGGUUGUCGUCAGCUCGUGUCGUGAGAUGUUGGGUUAAAUCCCGCAACGAGCGCAACCCUUAUGGUCAGUUACUACGCAAGAGGACUCUGGCCAGACUGCCGUUGACAAAACGGAGGAAGGUGGGGAUGACGUCAAAUCAUCAUGCCCUUUAUGACUUGGGCUACACACGUACUACAAUGGCGUUAAACAAAGAGAAGCAAGACCGCGAGGUGGAGCAAAACUCAGAAACAACGUCCCAGUUCGGACUGCAGGCUGCAACUCGCCUGCACGAAGUCGGAAUUGCUAGUAAUCGCGGAUCAGCAUGCUGCGGUGAAUACGUUCCCGGGCCU
RNAcentral lists this ribosomal RNA (1330 nucleotides) under uncultured bacterium. Its description in RNAcentral is "bacterial SSU rRNA". It matches the Rfam family "Bacterial small subunit ribosomal RNA", at positions 28 to 1381 of the family's 1533-position model. The record is from RNAcentral.